Molecule: ribosomal RNA, 770 nt
Filed under: Alteromonas macleodii
Lineage: Bacteria; Pseudomonadati; Pseudomonadota; Gammaproteobacteria; Alteromonadales; Alteromonadaceae
Description: bacterial SSU rRNA
Rfam family: Bacterial small subunit ribosomal RNA
Source: RNAcentral
GGUAACAUAUAUACUAGUCUUGCUAGAAGAUGACGAGUGGCGGACGGGUGAGUAAUGCUUGGGAACUUGCCUUUGCGAGGGGGAUAACAGUUGGAAACGACUGCUAAUACCGCAUAAUGUCUUCGGACCAAACGGGGCUUCGGCUCCGGCGCAAAGAGAGGCCCAAGUGAGAUUAGCUAGUUGGUAAGGUAACGGCUUACCAAGGCGACGAUCUCUAGCUGUUCUGAGAGGAAGAUCAGCCACACUGGGACUGAGACACGGCCCAGACUCCUACGGGAGGCAGCAGUGGGGAAUAUUGCACAAUGGGGGAAACCCUGAUGCAGCCAUGCCGCGUGUGUGAAGAAGGCCUUCGGGUUGUAAAGCACUUUCAGUUGUGAGGAAAAGUUAGUAGUUAAUACCUGCUAGCCGUGACGUUAACAACAGAAGAAGCACCGGCUAACUCCGUGCCAGCAGCCGCGGUAAUACGGAGGGUGCGAGCGUUAAUCGGAAUUACUGGGCGUAAAGCGCACGCAGGCGGUUUGUUAAGCUAGAUGUGAAAGCCCCGGGCUCAACCUGGGAUGGUCAUUUAGAACUGGCAGACUAGAGUCUUGGAGAGGGGAGUGGAAUUCCAGGUGUAGCGGUGAAAUGCGUAGAUAUCUGGAGGAACAUCAGUGGCGAAGGCGACUCCUCUGGCCAAAACUGACGCUCAUGUGCGAAAGUGUGGGUAGCGAACAGGAAUUAGAUACUCCUGGUAGUCCACACUCGUAAACGCUGUCUACUAGCUGUGUGUG